UUUCUCUCUAUCUCUCUCAUAAAUUCGUGAAAUUACUGAUGAAUAUUUUUACAACUUUUGUCAACGUCGGAAGACGUCGUUAACCAGAUUCAAGGCGUUUCAAUUUCAACGUUUAACAUCAAUCCCAAGGGAAAUUAAAUUGAUUGACUUCAAUUGAAAUUUAAUUGAAUGCUAGCGUAGAUCAAAUUUCAUUUGCAAAAUUGCGAUUGCAAUUAAGUUUCCUUCUUCGAAUCAUUCAUUUGUUGUAUAAAACAGAAAGAAAUAUUCACAUACGCAUAUGAGACAUAAGUAUUUCAACAUGGAUCAGGCCUCGAAAAAAAAUCAUUUCUAUAAAAUAGCAAAUAGUGUAGGAAUCUAUGAGAUGUACAAUUGCGUUUAAAAAGUCGAAAUAUCAUGUUUGGUUGGUGCAGUAUCAUCGACGGUCGAUCCGGACGACCGUGAAAACGCUGACGCAGCUGCGGCCGAUCUUACCGCGGGCUUCGAUCUCGAUCCGCCCUCGGCAAGAGGCUCGACCUGCAUCGCCAUUUUUAGUCACGAUCGAAAGAAAGAGAGAAAGAGAGAGAGGGAGAAAGAGAGAAAAGCGACCUCUCAUCCUCUCAUCCUCUCCCUUCUCUUCUUCGUCGCCGUCGUCGUCCUCCUCUUCCUCCUCCUCUUUAUACGAACGCUACUUCUGCAGCCAAGGCCAUUUUAAUAGCGCAGCGCAUUUAUCAUUUGGGCGAAAACAACGUCGAUCGAGGCUAGCGAUAGGAACGAAUUGCCAUGUCGAUUCAACCGCUAACUUAAUUCUGAAACUAACAGCAAGGUAAAAAAGAAAGAAGAAUUAGGCGAGGAAGAGGAAACGUGGUAGUGUCGCGUGACACGAAAAAGUCGAUGCCCCCAUGGUUGUUGGUCGGGCAAGAAGCCGGAGGCUUGAGCGUGGCUAGAUUCACCCAGAGAUCGUUGCUAUCGCAGAGUCGUCUCGUUAUCCGACACCGCGAGUACACACGCCGGGGCACCGACUUCUAGCUUUACCUUCGACGACGACACUGUUGCUAAGGGAAUCCGAUUACGUCUCUUCUUCUUGCAAUUACAAUCGAUCUAAUCUACUAGCUUCCAACCAUUUUUCUGACACGCUUCUAUUCCAAACAAAGGCUAUGAUGUCUUAAUAACAACAACGCUUUAAUUAAUUAGAAAUAAAUUGUAUAUGAGAAUCCAAGAGGGAGAGGAACAGAAGAAGAAAAAAUAGAAAAAGAGAGGAACGUUUGACAUUAAUUUAUACGACACAACCGAGUAGAUCCACACAGACAAUAAUCGAUUUAUUCGAAUCACGCGUUGCGGAAUCAAUCGGCGGUGAUGGCGUGUGGACUAAAUUGAUUUUCUCGUUCCAUGUUGAAAGAGUGUCUUCCUCUUUUGGUCCAGCACCAGCACCAUCAUCAGUACCCGUCCCUCUUCCUUCCCCUCGUCAUACGGCUUUCGACUAGAAAGCACAAAAAGGAAAAAGAAUAAAAACAAGAAGAAGAAAAAGAUGAC
Molecule: long non-coding RNA, 1509 nt
Filed under: Polistes fuscatus (common paper wasp)
Lineage: Eukaryota; Metazoa; Arthropoda; Insecta; Hymenoptera; Vespidae
Description: uncharacterized LOC122515854, transcript variant X2
Source: RNAcentral